GGGGGCGGGGCCUGGGCUGCGUGCGCGUCGCCGGGUGUCCCGGGCCUCACCUCCAGCCUCCUGAACGUCUGGGCUGUUCUCCGAGGCCGGUCCUCAGAGGACCUUCUCCUCAGAGGUCGCCGCACGAGACGUUCAUCAGCAUUUCCCGCACUUCGAGAAAAUGGCUUCCUUCCGGCCAGUGAAGACGGCCCCUCAGAGCACUGGUACCAGCCCUGAAGACAAGUCCGCCUCUUGUCUGGAGAAAGUUCCUGCAGUCAUCUCAACUCCUGCUUCACAGAAAACAACUUCAGCCAGAGUUUUGAGUGGGAUAAAAUGGGAUCAAAAGAUGUUCUCAAAGCAGGCAGCCUAUUCAGCUCUCUCAGAGUUGAACUUAAAAAGCAGGGAGCAAAUUAAGAUGGAGGAGCUUCUUGCCUGGGACACGGCGUACUGCACGGCACUCUGGAGCUCGGUAAAGGUCAUGCUUUCCGUCUCGUCACACCGAAAAGACAAAAUUUUUCUGCAUUGGGUUGCUGUAAUAAACUCCUUUCCUUUUUAAUUGCUCGGCAUUUGUAACUACUGCUUAUGCUCCAGAAGAAGAUACUUUGAUGAUUGCUUAGAGUGUGUGAGGGGGGGAAGGAAGGGAGAGAAAGAAGAGAAAAAGAAAAAAGAAGAAAGGAGGAAAGGAAAACCAAAGGGCAGGCAAGCUGAGAGAGACAUCUUAGAAAUGAGAUCAUCUUUUCAUGUGUGCAAUUUAACGAUUUCUUUCGUUUGAAGCAAUGUAAAAAGCAAGUAAUUAUUGUUAUUCCUAAUAUCCUAGUGCCAAAUUGUAAACCAAGGGCUCUGGAGAAAUAAAUGGGGUGCUAGGACUUAAUGAUCCUGUGUGCGAUAGAUCACGGGUGAUAAGAUAUAUUAGUGCCAUUAUAUAAUUUGAUCAGGUAGCCAAGAAGCAUGUCAGCAAGCUCACUUGCAUUUAUGUGUCUGUUUGCUGGGUGCUCUGAGUUCCUCGCCCUGGAAAAUAAAAGCAAUUUGCAGAAAUGCACGUGGCUGUGGGGCGCCUCCUCGGGUGAACACCUCGGGCAUUCUGGAAGGCUUCGUCCCAGGAGCGGGUAUCAGAGGCUCCCCCUGUAGCCGGUAAGGCUGCUUCUCCAUGCAGCCCUGGAAAUGCUAAGCGGGUAAUUAACAAGUCACAAGGCACAGGUGUGCCAGGUGAAGUUUGGUAAAUUGCUUUUGAUCUAAAUUGAGAUGCUUUGGGGAUUUAACUUCUUAGACAAAAAAGGGCAUAAAUAAAUAAUCAGGGUUUUGAGGUUGGGGCUUGCCAGCGAGCUCUAAAACAUCUUAAUGCACUGGAGGCGAGCCCUCGACUCACCCAGCAUUCCGUCAUGUCGGUUCACCUGAUUCGCUCAGAGCUCCGGCUUGGCAGCGUGUCCUGGGAGUGUGGAGGCGCGCGAGUUGCUCUCAAAUGCCUGCAGUUUCCUUGCUGACCUCCUAAGAGGGAAAAGGGGAAGAGACAUGAGCCCCUGAGCGGCUAGGAUGUCAGCCCGUCAUCAGGGGUCAUGCUGACUGUGGGGUGGGGGAGUGUGCCAGCCAGGGGAGGCCCUGGGGUGCCCACCAUCAGCACUGGGCACGAGGCCCGUGUGUGCAAGGCUCACGUCGAGUGCCCGCGAGGACCCACUGGACAAGGAAGCCGCAGGGGUCAGAAGGGUGACCCUCGGCCCUUGGAAGCAGGACCACAGGGAUGACAAGGGUGCUGGCGGCUCUCUCGAGCCUUCCGGGCCACUCUCGGGCUCUCUGUGCUGGACUUGGGGGCCACCCUCUUUGGGCCCUCACUUCUCCUGGAGCAGCAAGGGGCCCGCGGCAGACCGGCCCCCUCCCUGCCCGGUUGGAACUGUUGGGGUCCAUCCUCCUCCCAGGGCCAGUGGUCUUUGGAAGUGGGUCUCCCUGGCCCCCGGAUGCUGGCAGCCAGGUGGCCCACAUGGGGUGACUCCGGGGGCGCGUCACCUCCACGGUCAGGGCCCCUGGGGCCGCGAGCCUGCAGGGCCUGGAUCGCACGCGUGCUCAGCUGCUCUGUUCACAGUGGGCUCUUCUCCCCACUGCAUCUGUGCUGACACCACAGACCGCCUCACCCAGGAGGUUGUGCAUCGUCCUAGGACUAAGCCCCGACGUGCGGUAGUCAUCUUAGUAAGCACAUGACCCUGGAGGGAAAUGUACUCCCCCGCUGGAGCUCACUUGGGAUUGUUUUCACUGGUUUGCUUAUUCACCCACUGGAAACUUCAGCAGGAAGUGGAGCUGUGCUGGGCAGAGAGGACGUGCAAGUAUCAGAAGGCACUCUUGCCAGAGCGUGGACGUUAGUUAAUUCCACUAGAACGUGAGUGUCACCUGCCUGGAGAAGCAGAGCAUGUGAGGGCGUACAGAGGGGCUGGGGGAGCUUUGUGGGUGCGCAGGGUUCAAUGGAGCAGAGCCCAGAGCAGAUGAGUCUGUGGGAGGAGCAGCCUGUAUAAAGGCCCUGGGGUGGGAGGAGGGUCAGAGACACGGGGUGUGGGCUUGGCGGAGGCUCAUGCGGGGGCAGGGGCAGGUGUGGGGUUGAUCUAGGGGGUCUUGGAAAGACAUUGGAGGUUUGGGGCACACGCUGACCAGCUCAGAUUGUGGUCGUAAGAUCACUGAGGCCGCUGGGUGGGGAUGGGCGUGUGUGCGGGGUCUCGGGUUCAGCUGGUGAGACGGGCUGUCAGGAAGUACAUGACAGCGGCCCCUUUAUUGGAAACCCGGCAGGCCUUUGGGAGCAGCUUGAAAGUGAAUUUGAGGAGCUCUAGAGGGGGGUGUCCAGAAGGAGCCCUGGGGUAUCGCUCCUGCCAUGGGGUGAGGCAGGGGUCCUUGGGGGAGGCCGAUGGGGGAGGAGAUUAUCACUUAUUUCCAGAGUCUUCC
Long non-coding RNA from Capra hircus (goat), 2898 nucleotides. The record is from Ensembl. NCBI's taxonomy places the organism in Eukaryota, Metazoa, Chordata, Mammalia, Artiodactyla, Bovidae.